Molecule: long non-coding RNA, 107 nt
Organism: Octopus sinensis (East Asian common octopus)
Lineage: Eukaryota; Metazoa; Mollusca; Cephalopoda; Octopoda; Octopodidae
Exons: 3
Source: RefSeq, a predicted model, not a curated record
CAUGCAUAUGUAUAGAAAGUGGGAGCUGAGACGAGGAAGCGACGAGACGCAUUGACUUUGUUGAGAGAGAUCUGAUCUUUGCUGAGUUUGGUAGACUAAUCUUCGCC